AUUGAACGCUGGCGGCAUGCCUUACACAUGCAAGUCGAACGGUAACGGGUCCUUCGGGAUGCCGACGAGUGGCGAACGGGUGCGUAAUAUAUCGGAACGUGCCCAGCAGUGGGGGAUAACUGCUCGAAAGAGCAUCUAAUACCGCAUACGACCUGAGGGUGAAAGGGGGGGAUCGCAAGACCUCUCGCUCUUGGAGCGGCCGAUAUCAGAUUAGCUAGUUGGUGGGGUAAGGGCCUACCAAGGCAACGAUCUGUAGUUGGUCUGAGAGGACGACCAGCCACACUGGGACUGAGACACGGCCCAGACUCCUACGGGAGGCAGCAGUGGGGAAUUUUGGACAAUGGGCGCAAGCCUGAUCCAGCAAUGCCGCGUGCAGGAAGAAGGCCUUCGGGUUGUAAACUGCUUUUGUCAGGGAAGAAAUCUUCUGGGCUAAUACCCCGGGAGGAUGACGGUACCUGAAGAAUAAGCACCGGCUAACUACGUGCCAGCAGCCGCCGUAA
RNAcentral lists this ribosomal RNA (500 nucleotides) under uncultured bacterium. RNAcentral describes it as "partial 16S ribosomal RNA". It matches the Rfam family "Bacterial small subunit ribosomal RNA", at positions 30 to 523 of the family's 1533-position model. The record is from RNAcentral.